AAGUCGAGGGGAAACGGCAUUGAGUGCUUGCACUCUUUGGACGUCGACCGGCGCACGGGUGAGUAACGCGUAUCCAACCUUCCCAUUACUGUGGGAUAACCUGCCGAAAGGCAGACUAAUACCGCAUAGUCUUCGAUGACGGCAUCAGAUUUGAAGUAAAGAUUUAUCGGUAAUGGAUGGGGAUGCGUCUGAUUAGCUUGUUGGCGGGGUAACGGCCCACCAAGGCGACGAUCAGUAGGGGUUCUGAGAGGAAGGUCCCCCACAUUGGAACUGAGACACGGUCCAAACUCCUACGGGAGGCAGCAGUGAGGAAUAUUGGUCAAUGGACGGAAGUCUGAACCAGCCAAGUAGCGUGCAGGAUGACGGCCCUAUGGGUUGUAAACUGCUUUUGUAUGGGGAUAAAGUUAGGGACGUGUCCCUAUUUGCAGGUACCAUACGAAUAAGGACCGGCUAAUUCCGUGCCAGCAGCCGCGGUAAUACGGAAGGUCCAGGCGUUAUCCGGAUUUAUUGGGUUUAAAGGGAGCGUAGGCUGGAGAUUAAGUGUGUUGUGAAAUGUAGACGCUCAACGUCUGAAUUGCAGCGCAUACUGGUUUCCUUGAGUACGCACAACGUUGGCGGAAUUCGUCGUGUAGCGGUGAAAUGCUUAGAUAUGACGAAGAACUCCGAUUGCGAAGGCAGCUGACGGGAGCGCAACUGACGCUAAGCU
Molecule: ribosomal RNA, 706 nt
Filed under: uncultured Prevotella sp.
Lineage: Bacteria; Pseudomonadati; Bacteroidota; Bacteroidia; Bacteroidales; Prevotellaceae
Description: bacterial SSU rRNA
Rfam family: Bacterial small subunit ribosomal RNA
Source: RNAcentral